This is a long non-coding RNA of Rana temporaria (common frog), 19398 nucleotides long. RefSeq lists it as uncharacterized. The record is from RefSeq and is a predicted model, not a curated record. Lineage: Eukaryota; Metazoa; Chordata; Amphibia; Anura; Ranidae. The transcript has 2 exons.
CAUUCGGUCGGCCUUAUACACGGCUGACCGAAUGUUCCAGUUUUACCAUAGUACCGGGCUGUUAUUGAAAUCGGUUGUUUACAUUUCUAGAAGCUUCUAUCUGCCUCUCGGGCAUUAACGGGGUAGCCCCUGUACAGAUAAACGCCUUUCUUUGUAACUGCGCAGUAAAGAUGGCGCUGAGAAGUAUGUGGGCGGAGCUAGGUGGGUGCAUCAAUUCGUAUAAGACGAUGCAAUGCUGUAACUCAUCCACCAUUGCUCCUCCCACAUUCCUUCCUCGGCGGCCAUCUUUAUUGCGCAGUUAAUAAACCAGCUAUGCCCUACCAGCGUAGAAUAGCUUAUUGUAGCUAUCUUGCAAACGCUUUUCUGGGGUGAAACUAGUUUUUUAGUAUUAAUCUACAGUUUUAGUUUACAAAAAUUAUAGAAAUAUUAGCAAUAGCAAAUUAGAGUCUCAGACCAGUAGAUAGCUCAUGUUGGCGAUAACGCGUUGCAGGAUAUUAAAGACUGGAAUAGCUGUGCAUGGCAGUUGGCAUCUGUUUGUUGUUUAUAAAGCGACACUAAACUUUUUGUUUAUAAAGCGACACUAAACUUUUUCUUUUAAUUUUUUUUAUUCCACCUUAGAAGUACCAUGGCUUUAAUUUUUUAGCUUGGCUUCACUAGUGCCGUCUAAUCAGGUUUGUAGUUUUUUGCUUUAUUAUUCAGGUUGUGUAUUUUAUUUCAACAUUUUUAAAACUGCUUUCCUUUAUAUUGUAAAGCACUGGGUAGAUGUACAGUUACAAUUUAAGGGGGGUUUGGAGGGCUCUGCUCAGAAGAGCUUACAAUCUAAUAGGGUCGGACAAAAGGUAAAAGCUGGGGGGGGCGAGCUGAUGGAGAAAAAUAAAAGCUCAGUAGUUGGGUGGAGUUGGGAUAGGAGUCCCUGAAGAGAUGUUUGAGGGUCACUUCACACUGACUCGUGCUAAGAUGUCUGUCCACUUAGUCAUUUUUAAUGCGCAGUGAUGUCAGUUUAGACAUUUCAGCACAAUAGGAAUGGUGUGAAUAGGACACUGGAAAUUAUUUUUCAGCCGUGUUUUACAGCUGCACUGAUGUGAAUUGGCCCCCCAGGGAUCAUCUAAAGAUGGCCUGAGUAGGUGCAUGAUAUUUUAGUAGAAAGGGGAGGAUGGGUCUUGUACACAACUUUGUCAAAUACAAUCAGAAUGCAUUUUAAAUGCGUUUUCCAUGUGUUAGCGUUGAAGUCUGUGGCUGUGCUGUCCCUUUUUUCAAAUAUCACACAGCACCAUAUUGCUUUGAUGUGAAUGCUGUCAUCCAUAAUGGAAAUCCUAUGUAUGGUACCCAGACAAAGAAAAAUGACCCUAGUGUAAAUGGGGGGGCUUGAAGGCUUUUUUAUUUUUCAAACUUUUGUUUGUCCCUAUCUGCUGAUGUAAUGCAAGUUGGCGUAGGGCAGGCUAUGCCAGGAUUUCUGGUCACUUGAAUGCCUCUAUGCGUAUUACAAUACCCAUAGAGCGGAGGGUCUAGCUGUAUAAUCAUCUUGUGGAAGGCCAGCAAAGGGUGGCUACAUUAACGUAUUGCUGGGCAUUCUCUUGCAAACACAAGCUUUUCUUUCUGGAAUUCUAACGGAAAAGAGAAGAGGCAGUCUUGCAUUUAAACAUAUUGGAUCACAUUUUUAUCAAGAAGUUUAGUGUCAUUUAAAGAAGCUGGUUACUAUGCACAGCUACUGCUGUUUUUAUGAAUUCCCUCUGUACCGCUUUAUUUAAGUUUGCCUUUUGUAAUACACAAUUAAUCUUCGUAUUUUACUAAAGGGGUAGGUGGUGCUUGGAAUGGACUUCCAGCAGAGGUAGUCGGUUAACAGUAAAUGGCAUCAAACCUUAAUCUAUUCUAGAAAAAAACUUAAACAUGUAUGGAUAGAUAAAAGCGGACACUGCUUGGGUUCUUUAUUACUGCAUUAUAUUUCCAUGUGGGAUGUACAUGAAAAGCUAUGCCCAGAAUCUAUAGCAGUUGGUAAAAUGGUGAAUUUAUACCACAGCGUACAUUAUUUAAGCAGUCUGUGAAUGCACUAUUCUUAUUCAGGAGCGCUAAGAUGGCCGAUCAUGUGUCAUGCUUGCUUGGAAGAACUAUUGUUUGUUGAAUCAAUGUACCUAUGGACUUGUGCAAAAAGGACUAUUCCAUCAUAAAGGACUGAUCAUGUGAAAGAUCUACAGCAUGAAGUUGUGGAGACCAACUUGCGUUUUGACCAAACGUGGCAUGAUGAGGAUCCAACAGCUGUGUAACCCGGUUCAUUUUUUUUUUUUUUUUUUUAAGGAAGUCUCUAAUUUGUAUUUUUUAUCCUGUAGUUAACAUCCUUUUAAAAUGUUUAUCACCAUUUCUAAAUUAUCUAGUGAUAACAGGAUUCCUACUGGGGGGGAGUUGUGUAAUAUUUUUUUUUUAAUCUCUUUCCUAGGUUUAUGUUCAUAAUUGUAACUCAUUCCACCCUAGACCUCCACCUUACACCAGACACCCUUGUUGCAAGUUGUUCUGGAGUCUGGUAACAUGCAAAUAUUUGUAUGUUUAUUCCUAUCAGCUUAGAGCUUCUUAUACUUCAUAUCACAUCCUGGGGAAGAUACCGCAUCCUUAGGUGGCCAGGUGCAGCGUUUUGGUAAGCAAGAGAGCGAUCCCAGAGUUUUUGGGUGUCAAGAAAUAGCCAAGCAUUCUCUAUCUGGUAAGAAUACUUUAAUGGAGUGUCUCCCCCUCAAAUGAAAAAGCAACAUCCAAAUAUAAACUACCCACUAUACACAAAGUAUCUAAUCUAGAAUCUCAGUGUAAGUCCUUAUGGAUUUUUCCAUUCAAUAUUAUGUUGAACUAUAUUUUUGGAAGUCUUGUAAAUUCUACAUAGCAACUCCAGUUCAAAUGCAGGACUGGUAACCCAUUAGUCUCAAUGUUCCUGCAGGAAGUUAAACUCAUGGAUGCUAUGCCAAUAAGAACUGCCCUUAAAUGUGGUAUAUUUAUACCUUGGGUAUUAAGCUCACUAUGCUAGAUGGUUAUAUUACCUGUAGACUUUCCAGUUCAACAAAUGGUAUCGUUAACUUGGCAUUACUUUAUUUGCCCUAGUUUACUUGUACUGUUACCAUCCACUAGUUAACCAGUCCCUUUAAGCUCCCAAAUUCAGCCAAAACACGAGCACAGUAUAUGUAUAAAGUUGCCAUUGUGACAAGUUUGGAUUUUCUUUCUAGGCAUUUUAUCUGUGUGGUUUUCUGGUGACUCUUCAGAAAAUUGCUUUAAGAGGUUUUCAAGUAAGAUCUUUCCUUGCUGUUUUUGUAAUUUGUAACCCAUGUGAUUCAUAAUUUUUGCCAUUUUAUGUGAUUGUACAAAUACUUUUUUCUGAAUUAAAAUUUUUACAGAUGAAUGUCUUGUUUCAACAUCUUUGUUAAAGGUCAUGUGCAAUGUGCUCAGAGCUGUUUGUCAGACAUUGAAGUGGGCCGGACAAAAACUGCAGUAUUCCAGAACCCCCAGAGUACUUUAUUCUGCAAAGGUUAUGUUAAGUACAGUGUUGGUUACAUUUCUAAUAACAAACUUCUCGUCAAAACGGUGAACCUUGCUUUUGUGGACAGGCUUUCCUCCGAAUAUUAUAUUUCCUCUGAGUGAGGAUGUUUACUUGUGAAAACUUCUGGUUUAAUUUUGUAGGGCAGGUUACUCAGUCUCAAGGAGAAGAAAACAAGGGUAUUAUCAGCUUCUCUGGCAGAUGAGUACUAAAACGUCAACCACAAGUCUGCAUGUUCAAUGGACACCAACAACCACACCAUCAGUUAUAAGUAUUGCUGAAAUUUUACAUCAAAUCAUAGUGGGCCACUUUCAUCAAAAUAAGUAAAUGUGAAGCGAGCUUAAAGGGUCUACUUUUUUGCUUACUGGUGGGCUUAGAGCCCCUGUCAAAUUAACUAUUAUGCAGGUUUUUUGUUUUUGUUUUUUUAGAAACUUUUCCUAUUUCAGGGACCACCUUUUCACAAAAGUGAAAAACUGAUAAUGUUUAAAUGGGGAGGGGGUGUACUUAGUGUUUAGGGCCCUAUUGUGUUCCCAGAACAGGAAGUGACAGAAUCCUUUAAGCAGUGCCAAACAGAAAACCUACGUUUUUUACUUCUAAUGUUUCUCCACCCUAUCAAAAAUUGCCUUAAGCAAUUCCUCUGUAGUUGCUCCCAUUUAAGUCCCCAAAACAUUGGGUUUUAUAUGUAAUGCUCUAACAUUGUGGCCUUUUUGUUUACGUAUAACAAGCCUGCAGACAAAAUUCAUGCCUUUGUUUUUUCCUCCCCAUUCCCGUUCUCUACUUGGUCCUAAAAGCGGAGUCUUGCCCCAACUGUGGCCCGUUCUGCCCAGGCGAGAGCUUUUCACAUAGGAAAGAACUUAUUACAUCGCAGAAAUGGUAUGGCUCGACUUUAGGUAGUGGUAAAGGUAUGGCCAGGGGAAUGGAUCAUGCAAAUGAUUUACUGCAUGUACAUACAAAAGUGUGCUUAUUCAAAUCAAAAGCAUGCCAUUUUGUACAAAAACUUGCUGCUAUUCUGUUCUGCAAGGUUUUUAUGCAUAUCAGGGGCACUGCUCAGCUUAACAACCUGAGUAAUGCCCCAAGACUGGCAUCUAUAGGGGGAGUUUUAUGGUUUUUCCAUACAAAUAUUAAAAACUGCUUUCAUUUUUGCUACUCUAGAAAAAAAUCUGCCUGCUGUGGUACACUGUGUGGUCUUGGCAGGAUUUCAAUCGCCCCCUGAGCGACAACAAUUUAGGCUAAGUCAAUGCGUUCCUCUGCUCUCCAAGGCACAGGCGAUCUAGAACAGGCUGAAGAAUCCAGGUAUCAAGUUGUGUACGAGUAACGAACAUAACUGUCUCAAAGAAUGUCUGCAAACAGUUGAGUAAUCCCAUCCCUGCCCUCUGGGGUUGCGUGAGGGGAGAAGCUGCUUGAGGAUUUCGCUGACCUUACUGAAGCAAGAUGGACCCAGUCUUGGCAGUUUGAUCAGAUCAGCUGUCAGGAAACCAACAGCGUCACUGGAUGGAUCACCACUUCCUGUCCAUCAGAGGCGAUAACGCUCCUGCAGUAUUGGGGGCUGCUGGCCUAGUGGUGUCGCCUGAAACUGGCAAGAUCAACAGGUAAAUCAACACUGACACCACUAUAAAAAAAAUGCUCAAUUACGCUCAAGGCAACACAAACAUACAAACUUCUAGUAUUUUUUUGGUUUAUUGCACAAAUUCAGACACUGUGAAGUGUCGUCCACUUUCAUUGUCGCCUCUAUUUUCAUGUUUGCAGUGUCCAAAAUAAGACUGCGCCAUCCAGUAUGUACUGAGCUGUGCCAACUGGCCAGUGCCUGUCAACUGACCCGGUUGGACCCCCAUUCCUCAGCAAUGCUAAGUUUGUUGGAGGAACGCUUUCCUGCCAAGAAAAGGGUAUUUAGAGCAUUUCAAAGUGAAAAUCCAGUAAAUUAAUAUGGUGCUACAAGACUAUAAAGAAAACAACAAGGUGUGGUGUAAAUUCAGAAUCAGUAAGUACUCUAAUGGUUUCUAAACUGCAUGUAAACACGAAAGUAUUGACCUAAUUAAUAUACUUGGCUUUUUGACAAACUGAUGUGUUCUGUCAAGUAAGCACAGUCCAGCCACCAGCACAUGUUGGGCACUUAAUCUUGCAGCCAUUAAGGAUAAGUGCUACAAACCACUGUGUUAACACUUUACUAAUUGGGGAUGUAAUUCCAGACAUCCUUUCUCCAUGUUACUGGGCAAAGCUGACACCAGUGAGGGGAGUGCAUGGUCAUGGAGGCUGAUUAUACCUUUACCUCCCAUGUAAUCAUCUACUUCUAUUGUUGUCAAAUGAAACCUAUGCCCCCAAUCAUUCCUAGACAGCAACUUUUCUAAAUCCAAGUAAAAUAGAAUUUGCUUUUGUUGUGGACAGCAUUUUGAUGGGGAACUUUUUUUAAUGCAUGUUUUGGGAUUUUCUACUGUAUUGCCUACUGUUGCAAGCAAUGUAACUAGGCAGUUCAGCCUAAUGCUUAGUCAGUCUACUCUUUACAUUUCAGUUUACCCAAAGUGAUGAUACUUCUAAGUAGCCUUCCUGCUGGGUUGCUUGAGGUGGAAAACAUGGCAAACAAGAUUUCCAGUUUGUUCAUGAAAAGUCCAAUGUAUGUAAGUACCUCCAAAGUAGGAGGAAAACCCCAUCAAAGCCAGAUUACACUAUAUAACCACUUCUGUAUGCCAUAUUACUUAUUAUGCUGUAUGGAGGGAUGUGGGUGCAAAGUGCAUGGAUACAUUGUAGCGGGUUAUAGUGCUAGAGCCUUUCCUGCUGCUACAACUGUCCAUAGUAAGAGAAAAUGAUGCAGGCUCAGCAGAGGAAGUGCUAACUUGUCAAUGUACAGAUUAGUAUGUGGCUAAACAUUCAAGAAUCUUGACUAUAAACAGGCUUCUUUAUCCCUGAAUAGGCUAAUGAGUGUAUAGAUUUGAUGCCAUGUCAGCAUGUGGCUAAAGUUUCUGGCAUCAUAAGCUGGUUUCCUGUGGCAUAUGCACUUGGACAGUACUCUACCUAAAGUGGAACUGCACAUCAUCUGAGCACUGCAAAAUAUAUUCAUUUUUAAUAGAUGGUUAUUUCCCCCUCCGUCCAUGUUUUCUCUCUAUUUUGUUGAGAUAUCAUAUUGGGGGGGGGCCCCCCCAGUAUUUCUGGCUGUGGCCAUCUUGAGUUAAGGGCAGAUCAUUUAGGCUUCACACAGCGUGUGAAUCUUGGAAGAAAGAGACAUGGGUUAGAGUUGUAAUAAGGUAACCCCAAUGUACAGCAUGCAUAUGAGAGAUCUCGUGAUAGUAAGUGGGAAGUCCCAUCUUUGCUCUUUUGUGCAAAUUUAUGAAAACACUAGAAGGGAAGGUUGUCUAAAAUUGUGUUCAUUGAGGAAAAAUUAUAUCACUUUGUAAAUUUAUACACACGACAAAGGGUCUCAUUUGUGUGAAACCUUAAUUUUUAUUUUAUUUUGUCUACAAAAACCAUGAAAUAUUUCUGAAAUGAAAAUUGGGUACAAAUGUCUAUAAAUAUGGAUAUGCUCAUCAAACCGGAUGCUUAGUUUGUAAAAUAACUGACUAAAAAAAAGGCUGAAUUUCACAAAAAAAAAAGCAUGUAUGUGUUGGAAGGCUCAUUUGCAUGGAACUGGAUUGUGUUGGAUUGUCCAGUCCUUAAAACUUAACUUCCUUCACAUAGCCCUGCUUGGCAGCAGAGAAGACUUUUUUUUUUUUUUUUUUUUUUCUUGCUCUGCUCUUUCCUCCUUUGCAGCAGCACAACUAAUUCACUCCUUGGGCUGCCGUCUCCUGCACAGGCUGAGCUCUGCUCUACUGGGACUGCACAAGGAUGAGAGCAGGUCUGAUUUAGUCAGACAACACAUGUAAGGUUGUAUUAAUGAAUAUGGUGCUGCGUUCUGAAAUCACAAGUUUUUGAUUAUGUUUUUAACCACUGUGAAAUAUGACACGAAACCAUGCAUAAAAGUUAGUGCGUGAUUGGAUCAGGUACAAAACUACCAUACCUAAAAACGUAGCACACUCCAGACAGCAGUCUGCAACAACGCCUAAAGGAUGCAGCACUUCAUUGGCCAAAUGGCUGUAAAAAUUAUUCGCUCACAAAAAGGUCAAGGUUCUUUUUACCAGAUGAAAACACUUGUUCUGUUUGGGGGGAGAGCAGUUGUUAAUGCAUAGAGGGGCAUGUUGUGCUUUAUUACAGCAUGACUGCUACAAGGGUGCUUUUAUCCAAAGAUAUUGCUCAAAAUGACAAUCAUAAAUGUUCUAAAACCUUUGCUAUGCUUCUGAUUGGAAGAGCAGAGGAUGUUCAGUGGUUUUGAGAUGGUAGUCUAAUUACAUCAAUGAUUUACACCACAGUAGAUGGCUUUCAGCCAGUUGUGUCACACAUGACUGUUAGGGGGUUUAUUUCAUGUGUUUUAGAAACCUGCAAUACCAUUAUAAACGACAAGAACUCAUCCACCCGUGUCAAACUAUACAAGAAUUCGUCCAUCUGAAAAAUGUAAGUGGAACUACAAAAACCCAAAACCUCGAGAUAUAAAAGUGUGGUAUUAACAAAUUUCCUUAAAAAAACCUUGCAUUAAAAAACGAUUUCAUUGUUAAAUGAGCCUUCAUUAACUCAUUAAAAGAUUUCCUUCAAUAUACUUCUAUGUGUACAUUGAGAUGGUUAAACCCUUUGACAAGUCAUUGCAAAUAAAAAGAAUGUUGGUGGGUGUAGGAAAGCUUGCAUCUGGUCUGCAUUGUCUACCUUUAAAUUUUUGUUUAAUAAAAAUUAUAUAUUGGUGAUAAAUGGACCACACGCUAAUACACUGGCACAUGGCACAGAUGUUUUAUAAAUACAGUUGUUGAGGUUCAGCCAUAACAUUUCCUAAUAACUCCUAACAGCUUGCGGCAGAUGAAUUAUUCAUGCAAUCUCAAGUCCCUGCAGAAGACUUGAAGCCGGUAAACUCUGUAGUUCUAUGCUGUCAAAGGAAACUACAGUACGUUUCUAUUGUAUCUUUAGGUUAUUCUACAGCUACCAUAAAGACGCAGUGACAUUUGGAGACCAUUUCAUGAAUGAUGGUGCUUUGCUUAGAAUUACAGGUGAUCUGUAUUUGAUUCUAUAAUCAGUUUAUUUUAAUUUUUUAUUUUAAAUCUUCAUUAUUUUACCAUACUUUUUAAGUUAGUUGAGAUUACCUAUAUUGUCUAAUGUGACGAUCUUUUGGUGGUGCUAAUUAUCUUUUGUAUAUCUUUCCAUUUUCCAGACCUAAGGGACGUUUUUGAAGCCCCUUCGGUGUCUGCCCUUAUUUUUAUCUCCUAGUAGUGCACCAUUUUGGUCACUGGUAUAAAAAAUAUUUCCUUAACAACUGAAAUUAUUUCUAGGUGGGGAAGUGCUACUCAUGUACUACAUCUACUGUUUGGAUGUCUUUCAGAGAUGUUUUUCCAGCAAUUUUGGGGAGCUGUAAGAAAUUCUGGCCCGGUUUGUGGUUUUCAGAAUGCAUAGGGAAACAUCUCAGCCACAGUGAAACACAACUGUGGGAUGAGGAAUGGACAAGACAUAAAUGCGCGAAUAAUUUGGGGGCUGUUUUUGGAAUGUUCUUAUUUCUCAACAGUACCUAGCCACUAUCAAGAUGGCUUAUCCAUGGAGAAUCUCGGUACCUCUGCAGAAGCAUUUUGAAGCUUGGACAGUUCCCAUGUAUUUUGGAUGUUCUGUCUCCUUUUCCCUGUUUUUUUUUUUUAGACCUUAGAAACCUUCCUGGUGCCCUUCCAGUAUGUCCAUUAUCGGCAUUCUAUUUUCUCUUCUGUAUGAUGAGUUAGUCACAAUUUCCUUGACUUGUGGUGGCAAAUUAAUACAUUUUGGGUGGGAAAAGCAGACUUGUUUUCUGGAUUACUUGAAGAUAUCGCAACUAGCAAAAGUUCCUGAAAGAUAAGUCAAACAUCUCUUGUUCUUCAGCUUAGGUAUUCUGAUUCUGAUUCCAAUUUAUCUCAAUGUUUUUCAUCGUGUGCUGGGAAACAUGAGGUGAAAAAUGGAGCACAACAGCAGGUUUUUUUUUUCUUUGUAUGGAUUUUUAUAGUUUAUGGCUGAUAGCAAGAUGGGUUAUCGGAAAAGCACAUCACCCCUGCAGAAGACUUGUGAAGCUUGCAGUCUCCACUCUUUUGUAAGACCCACAGAAGAUAAACAGUAUAUAUGCAUGGUUAGUGUCAACAAUUCGUCAUUCACAUACAGCUGACCAAAUACCAUUAUAAUGAUCUGUGGAUUCCUACAUUGUAGUUGAUCAGGAGGUAAUUUCUUUUAAAUUCCUAUUCCAGCAUCUCAUUUUGUGGCUUUGUACAAUUGAUCAGAUGGCUGAUUUUUCUUUUCCCUGUUGGUCCUGACAUUUCUUUUAUUUUUUACUACCCAUGUUUGUUUUCCCAAAUAUUUAUUUAUUUUUUAUCUUGGGAUGCUCAGUUUCUGUCCAGUUUUUUUUGUUUUUUUUCCCAACCUUAUUUAUCUUUCAGACUUUAGAACCAUGCUUGGAAGUCAUUUCAGAAUAUUAUCCACCACUAUUUCAUAUUUUCCAAUGCACCCUUUCUCACUGGGAUAACCAUUAGCAUUGUCUUGACAAGAGGUGGGGAAAUCAAAUAAUUUUUGGGUGGGAAAAGGAUAGUUUACUUUUGAAUUUAUUUUGCAGAUGUCUUUAAAUAUGCACUUUUUUCUGAGACAAGUUGGGGGACUCCUUUUUUGGUGAGUUUGAAAUUAUCCUGUCCCCCUUUUUAUCUGCGCCUUUAGAAUGCAUUGGGGAGCUUUUGAGGAGAUUAAUGGAAGACACAUGGGAUCCAAGUACAAUGGUAGAUGCUGUGUUUUUGAAUGGUUAUAUGGUGGGUGGAUGGGAUAUCUUUCUGAAUUGCUUCAACAGAUCUUGGCCGAUGGAUGGAUAUAUUGUGGAUGGAUAUAAUAUUGUGACAAUCUUGCCACCUCUGCAGAAGACUUCUGAAGCUUGGAAAGUCAUCUUGUACUAUAUAUAGGUUUGGCCAAGGCAUUACAAAAAUAUAUUUGUAUGGCUAAUGUCAACAAUUCAUUAUUUCCAGCUACAAGGAUCGCAUAGGGAUUACCUGUGAGGGCCACCGUGUAAUUGCAUAGGAGCUACUUUGAUCAUAUAUAUAGGCCUGGUCAGAUUUUUUUUUUUUUUCUUUCUAACCUUUUUUAUAGGUCUUGCCGUUUUUCAUUUUAUCAAAGAUAAAGAAGUUCAGUUUGCCUGAACUGUCUGAUAUGAUAUUCCUGUGCUUGUUCCUGCCCCCCCAUCCUCCUACUUUUUUAGGUGUUCAAAAACUCCUUAAAGCUUUAUGUCCAUAUUUUAGAGUUUUUUCUCUUCUCUAAAAUGUACGUUUGGGAUAUACAUUUUAUUUUUGGGUGGGAAAGAUUUCAGAUGUUUAUGUACACUAGCAGAAAUUCCUGAAAGACACAUUGGAAACUUGCUUGUUCUUUAGCUUGGGUCAACGCACUGUUGCCAGGCAUUUUGGUCCCCUUUUUUAUUUAUUUUUUCAGAAUGCGUCCGGCAGCAAUCAAUGACAAGUGGAGCACACAUAAUAAGCAGAAGUGCAAUGGCAGAUGCUUUAUAGAGAAUCCCCUAUGUAUCUUGCAUGUACAAACAAGUCAAACGGCUUCCUCGUAUAACAGAUACUUCCGGCUGCAACCGGAAGUGACUUUCACCCGGCUUCUCCCUAUGCAUUGCGUCACCGCUCGUGUGAGUUUUUAUACAUUUUUAAUCGUUGGUGUGACUAGACCCGUAGGUUUGAGGUCAGAGGCUUGGCACACAGUUUGCGUGGAUGGUGAAGCAUGAUUAAAGAAAUUGCCUAUAUGGGUCUGCAUUGUGUUUGAGCACUUUAUGGACUUUUUUUUUGUAUUUGCUUCUUUAUGAUCUUAAUACUGAGUGAGGAGUUUUUUUGCACUGAGCAUUUUGCUAUUGAUCACUGUUGGCUACAUUUUAUACAUUGUAGAUUUAUUCAAUUGCAUGUUUCUAUUGAAGAAAAUUUGCACUUUAUCAGUCUAUAUUGUCUGAAGUGGUGGUGAUUUCCGUCUACCCUAUUUGUGCCCUUUUUUUUCACCUUGCAUCUUUAUUCAGACAUUUGAAACAUUCUUGGGGCCUUCCAGUGUGUCCUCCCUUUAUCAUAAACCUCUCCUGCAAUAUAUCAUCUUAAUAAAGUUCCCUUGGAUAAAUAUUACCUUGACAUGUGAUGGCAAAUGAUCUCUGGAUGUCAAAAGGACAGUAUGCAUUUUGGAUGUCUUCACUAGGAGUUUCCUGGAAGUCUAGUUAGAAAUUGGUUUGACCUUCACUUUCCGUUCAAGCUGCCAGGUAUUCUCUACUUUUUCUCCGUGUUUUUCAGAAUGCUUUUAGAAGCUUUUGAACUGCAAUGAAGCUCAACUGAGAGGAGGAAUAUACAACAUACAAGUACAAUGACAGAUGGUUUAUGGAGUAUUAAAUGAGUUGUCAUUUUGGGGGCUGUUAGAAUAUUUUUAUUGAUUGCUCUCAACACUACAUGGCAAUACAAGAUGGCUUAUACAUGAAAAUCUCAUAACCCCUUAAGAAGCUUGAAGAGUCCCAAUAUAAUCUUUGAAUGUGAGAUGUAUUUGUUUCCCCUCCAUGCAGGGGCCUUGUUCCUAUUUUACUAUGUUUAUAGACAUUGGAAACCUUCACAAAGCACCUUCAGUAUGCCCAUCUUUGUAAAGAUGCCCCCCCCUUCAGAUCUUUCUACCAGCAAAUGUUCCUGAAAGAUCGCUUUGAGAACUUUUUUGUUCUUUGGGUUUGGUGAGUUGCUAGAUAUCCUGGUAGUGUUUUUUUUUUUUUGUUUUUUUUUAGUAUAUUUCAGGAUGUAAUGGAAAGCAUGAGAUGGAAUGAAAAUGCGUUAGAGAGAAGUCCUAUGUAGUUUUGAUUUACAACUGAGCAGGUAGAUGUUUUUUUUCCUUUAAUCCUUCAGCCAUGCUGUUUAUAGCGGUUAAUUUUUGCCUAUAUUGCCUGAAGUGAUAUUGAUCUUUAGGAUGUCCGAUUUUUGUAUUUUUUUUUCUCCAUUUUUAGACUUCAGUAUUAUUCCUGGAGCCCCCUUCAGGAUAUUUGCCAUUUUUUAUCUCCUGAAAUGCACUUAGAUCACUGCUCUAAACCUUAUUGCCUUGACAAGUGAUGGCAGCUGAAAGUACAUUCAUGACCUUAUUUCUUCGGAUUUCUUCAUUAUUGGACGUUUCAGAUUACCCAUUUGGGAGCUGGUUUGUUUUAUUACAUUGUAGUUUCCCGGUAUGCUUGUCCCCCUUUUUCUGAAUAUUUUUCACAAUGCAUUCUGAAAAACACCAACUGCAAUAGAUAAAGAACUGAAAUGAAGAACUGACAGCACGCAGAAGACUGCAAGUACAAUGGCAGAUGCUUUACGGAAUGGUUCCGUUUUAAAAGGAUUGUCAUUUGAAUGUUGGGGUAUUUUUUGUGAUUGCUUUCAACAGAUCCCUCCCUGUCCAAUAGGAAGAUGCAUUUUCUCAGCACCACAAUAGUGAAAACCUCGAUAUUCCUGCAGAAGACUUCUGAGGCUCGGACAGUUAAUGUUUCUGUAAUGGCAUGUAAUGAAAACUUUAGCAUAUUAAGAAGUUUAGUGCAAUGGAUUACAUGCAUUUUUAAAAUUGCAUAGUUUUAUUUUACCCAUGAUGUAUACAGAAGAUCAAUUGUGUCCGAUUUAAUAAUAUGAUGUUUCUGUGCAUGUUCGCUUUUUUUUUUUUUUCUUUCCCCAUCUUGCCUCUUUUUGUUUUUCUUUCCCCAUCUUGCCUCUUUUUGUAGGUGUUAAACAAACAAACCAUCUUCAAACCCUCCCAAUUUGUCCACCGUUAUUGUAAGGAUUUCUUGUGGGAUAUACUUCCACACUUCCCAGAGAUUGUAAAUGAAAAACAUUUGGGAAAAGGGGCAGUCUUGGAUUUCAUCAGAUAUCUCUACUGGCAGUACUUCCUGAAAGGCACUUUUUUUUCUUUGAGUUGCUAGAUAUUCUGGUCCACUUUUUCAGAAUGCGUCGGAAAGCAUGAGAUAGGGAAUGCAACACUCGUAACAUGCAAGUACAAUGAUCGAUGCUUUGUAGAGCAGUCCUAUGUAAUUUUUGCAACUCAUCAGGUAGAUGGUUUUUCUUUUCAAAGCUUAUCCUGCUUUUCUUAAUGCCUCAGCCAUGCGGUUUAUAACAGUCAAUGUCGUCUAAAGUGUUUAUCUGGUUUUUGUCUGCAUUUUUUUUUUUUUUCUACCUUGCAUUUUCAGAAUCUUUCCUGGAGCCCCUUCUGUAUGAUCCACCAUUAUCUAUAAAAUGUUUUAUCUUCUGACACGCACCUCCUUAUAUUUUCACUUUUUAUUAUAAAAAAAUACCUUGACAAGUUGAUGGCAAAAGAAAGCACCUGCAGGAGGGAAAAGACAGACUUGUUUGAAUUUCUUUCACAGAUGUCUUCGCUACUAGAAAAUUCAGAUAAAUCAGUUGGGAGUUGGUUUGUUCAGGUGCAUUGCAGUUUCCAGGUAUUACAUUUUGUUCCCCUCAGUGUUUUCAGAAUGCAUUGUGAAGUUUUUCAGAAUGCAUUGUGAAGUGUUUUUAGCAACAGUAAAAAAAAAAAGUGCAAGUACACUGGCAGAUGCUAUAUGAAGUGGCCCGGAUGAAAGAUUUGUUUGGGAGUUUUUGGGAUAUUUUUCUGAAUUGAUUUAAACAGAUUCUUUAAGGAUCGGAAGACAGAUUAUCCGUGAAUCCCAGCACCCCUGUAGAAGAGUUUUGAGGCUCGGACAAUCUCCAUAUAUCUGUAAAUCCAGCAUUUAAUUGAUGAACUUAUUUUAUAUAUGAUUAUAGUUGCCAUUUUAGCAUAUCAAUAUUUCUUUUAUUAUGACUAUAAUCAGAUGUUUUUUAAUAAAUUGAUCUUGCCUCCUUUUUGUUUUAUCCAUGAUGCACUAUACAGAGGUUAAGUUUGUCUUUUUUUAAUGAUUUGAUAUGUCCUAUUUCUGUGUCUGCCUUUUUUUUUCUUCCCUCCCCAUCUUUUGUUGGUUGUUAGAAUGUCCAUUAUUUGUAAGGAUUUUUAUUUUGUCUACAUUGAGAUACUAAAACAUUUCCUAGACUUUUGAUGGCAAAUGAAAUUUAGAUUUUGGGUAGAAAGACAGGUUGUGUUUUUUGGGGUUUUUCAGAUAUCUCUACUAUAGCAGCUGUUCCUAAAAACUCAUACUGGGAAGUUUCUUGUUACCAGGCAUUGUCCACAUUUUCAGAAUACUUUAUUAAUCCAAAAGGUAAAUUACUACAAACGUGAGAUGAGAAAUUAAGCCUAUAGUACAAUGGCAGAUGUUAUAGAGAAUUAUAUGCAGUUUUUUCAAAUGUAGAUGUUUUACUGUUCUAACAUGGCCCUGUCUUUUCUUGAUGCUUUAACCGUGCUUUUUAUAGCAGUUUAGUUUGCCAAUAUUGUCUUUUGAUGUCCUAUUUUUAUUUCUAUGCUUCCAACCCUCAUCUUUUUUUUCAGUUUAGAAACUAAUUUAAACCCCCUCCAGUAUAUCCACCAUUACUUCAAUAUUUCUCCAACAUGUGAUGGAUGAAAUGAUGAUCUGGGUGGGAAAGAACAGUUUCUUUUGUUUUUUUUUUCUUUUGGAUUUUUUACAGAUCGUUUAAAUGUCAGAUACUCCUGAAAACCACAAACUUUUUUGUUCUGCUUUGGUAACUGUACACGUAUUCUGGUACACUUUUUCUCACUGUUUUUUAGAAUGCGUUGGAAAGCAUGAGAUGAAAAACCGAGCACAUGUGAAGUACAGUAGCUAUAAGGAAAAUAAACCGAGCACACAUGUUAAGUACAAUGGCUAUAGGAAGAUCAACUGAUGUUUUUUUUUUUUUUUUCUUUUCUUCUCCACUUUGGAUUGUUCCUGCUUUUUCCAGAUGUUUGUUACAGUGCUUUUUUAUUUUUUGCCAUUGUCCUGCCAUUUAUAGCAGUUUAUUUUGCCUAUAUUGUCUGAAGUGAAGAUUAAUCUUCAGAUGUCCAAUUGGUGUAUGUGUCUGCCUUUUUUCCACCUUACUUAUUUUUCAGACUUGAAAACAUUCCUGAAUCGCCCCUUCCAUAUGUCCAAAUUAUAAAAACCUUUAAAGCAUCCUGCUGUAAUGCACCUUUUUAUAUGGUUGCCCUGGAUAAAUAUUACAUUUAUGUGAUGACAAAUGAGUACCUUCAGGAGGGAAAAGAUCGUCUGUUUCGGUUUUCAAUUUCUUCACAGAUGCCUUCACUAGUAGAAGUUUCAGACAUUUGCAGUGAGUUUCCAGGUAUUCCAUCCCCCUUUUCUCAGUAUUUAUCAAUUGCCUGGUGAAGUAUUGUAACAGCGGUAACAUAUAACAAACACAAAGAUUGCAAGUACAACAGCAGAUGGUUUAUGGAAUGGCCCUGAAUGAAUUGUCAUUUUGGGAGUUGGGAAAUUUUCUGCAUUGAUUUCAACAGAUUCUUUCUGAUCGUAAGAUGGAUUUUCUGUGAAAAUUGCAGUCCCCCUGCAGAAGACUUCUGAUGCUAGGACAGUUUGCAUGGUUGGUGCCAACAAUUCUUUCACAUAAAGCUACCCCGAUGGCAGUUAUCACCUGUUAUUACCAAAGUGUAAUUGAAGAGGAGGUACUUUGUAUAUAAUUAUAGUUUACUUUUUAGCAAAUCAAUAUGUAGUUAACCUUUCUUGAUGUUUCAUGGUGCUUAUAGCAGUUUCAUUUACCCUUUAUUGUCUGAUGUAAUGACUAUCUUAAUGUCCGAUUUGUGUCGAUGUAUUUUUUUUUUUUUUUCCACCUUCAUUUUUUUUUCUCCAGAUUUUAGAAACCUUCCUGGAGCCCUUCAGUAUGUCCACCACAAUCAAGAUCUUUUCUAAUCUCGUAAUGCACCUUUUAUAUUGUUCCUUGAGAUUUUUAACUUGACAAGUGAUGGAGGGAAAAUGUUUUUGAAUUUCUUUGCAAUGUCUUCACUAGUGGAGGUUUCAGAUAAACCAUUUGGGAACUGGUUUGUUCAGUUGCAGUGAGUUUCCAGGUACUCUGUUCCCCUUGUUUUUUCUCAUGUUUUUUUUCCAGGUUAGUAAAAACAGUAAAACUGAGAUGAAAACCUGCCAACAGUCUGCAAGUAUGAAUUUUUUUAAUAACUUGUCCGGGUAGUUUUUGGGAUAUUUUCUGGAUUGAUUUCAACAGAUACUUGAUCGGAAGACUGUCCAAGAAAUUCUCAACAUUCCUGCAGAAGACUUCUGAGGCUCGGGACUAUCUCCAUAUCCACCUCUUAAAUUUUCACUGAUUUAAUAAAAAUUAUUUUGACAAGUUGAUGGCAAAUGAGAGAACCUGCAGGAGGGAUAAAGACAGUCUUGUUUGAAUUUAUUUUACAGAUGUCUUCGCUACUAGAAAAUUGAGAGAAACAAUUUGGGAGUUGGUUCAGCUGCAUUGCAGUUUCCAGGUAUUCCAUAUUUUCCCCUCUGUGUUUUUCAGAAUGCAUUGUAAAGUGUUUUUUUAGCUACAGUUAAAAAAAACUGAGAAGAAUUGACAUCACAGACUGAAAGCACACUGGCAGAUGAUUUAUGGAGUGGCCCCGCUGAAAGAAUUGUUUGGGAGUUUUUGGGAUAUUUUUCUGGUUGCUUUCAACAGAUUCUUGAGGAUUGGAAGACAAUUAUCCGUGAAUCUCGGCACCCCUGUAAAAGACUUCUGAGGCUCGGACAAUCUCCAUGUUUCUGUAAUUCCAACAUUUAAUUGAUAAACUUACUUUAUAUAUAAUUAUAGUUGCCAUUUUAGCAUGUCAAUAUGUAGUUUAGAAUGACUAAUCAAAUGGAUGUUUUUAAUUAGUCUUGCCUUUUCAUUUUGUUUUAUCCAUGAUGCUCUAUACAGAAGUUGUUUGUCUUAAUGAUUUGAUAUGUCCUAGUUCUGUGUCUUGGUUUUGGAGUAUUUUAAGGAUUUUCUUUUCGCUUUUGUCUACAUUGGGAUAUACUUCAACAUUUCCUAGACUUUUAAUGGCACAUGAAAUUAGAUUUUGGGUAGAAAAGGACAGGUCGUCUUUUGUAUUUCUUCAGAUACCUCUGCUAUAGUGGGAAUUCCUGAAAAACUCAUACUGUGAAGUUUCUUCGGUGAGUUGCCAUGUAUUGUUCACAUUUUCAGAAUAUUUUAAUAAUCCAAAAGGGAAAUUAAUACAAACGUGAGAUUAGAAAUGACGGAUAUGUAGUACAAUGGCAGAUGCUAUAUAGAAGUUCUAUGUCAAUUUUUUCAAUUAAUGUUUUACUUUUCUAACAUUGUCCUGUGUGUUUUUUUUUUUUUUUUUUUUUAUGCUUUUAAACGUGCUGUUUAUAGCAGUUUAGUUUGUCUAUAUUGUCAGAAUUGGUGAUAGUCUUUGGAUGUCCUAUUUCGUUUCUAUGCCUUACUUCUAUUUCAGAGUUUAGAAACACAUUGAAACCCCCUCCGGUAUAUCCACCAUUAUCGUAAAAUGUUUGAUCUCCAGCAACAUAUCUGUAUAUUCUCUUGGAUAAGCAUUGUUAAUGUAUUGGCAAGUGAAACUGAUAUCUGGGUGGGGAAAGGACGGUCUGCUUUUUGGAUUUCUUUACAGAUGUCUUUACUAGUGGAAGUUGCUAGAUGACAAGUUGGGACUCCUGAUUUGUUUGAGUAAGUUUCCAGGUAUUCUGUCCCUUUUUUGUUUUUUCUUGUCUUACUCAGUAUUUUUCAGAAUGCCUUGUGAAGUAUUUGAGACAUAAUCAAUGACAUGAGGCGUUAAGCACAACAGAUGGUUUAUGGGACUAACACUGUUUAAUGAAUGGUCAUUUGGAGGUUGUUGGGAUGCUUUUCUGAAUUGAUUUCAACAGAUUCUUGAUUGUAAAAUUGUCUGUAAAAAAAAAAAAAAAAACCUCAGCACCCCUGCUAAAGACUUGAGGUUCAGUCAUCAGAUUUCUGUAAUGGCUCUAUAAUGGUAAUUGAUGUGUUAGGUUAAAAAUGGUUAAAUAGUAACUAUAUCAAUCUAUAGUUUAGAAUGAAUAAACCAAUGGAUGUUUUUCCUUUUUUUAAAUUGGCCCUGCCCUUUCUUUGUGUUAGCCAUGAUGUGUAUAGAUGAAUUAAGUUUCCCUGUAUUUGAUUUCAUAACUAUGACUAUAAUGGUCCUAUUGUAGUGUUUAGUUUAAAAAAAAAAUUUAAAUAGGCAAUCAAACUUGACUCACCCUCAAUAUUCCAAUAUUGUGUACGAUUUUUUUCUUUUUACUCCUGUAAACAUUGAUCCAUCAAUAUUUCCCCAAUGUGUGAUAGAUGAAAUGAUGAUCUGGGUGGGAAAGAACAUUUUUUUUUUUUCUUUGGAUUUCUUUUACAGAUGUCUUAAAUUGCAGAUGUUCCAAAAAAAAACCCCACAUAAGAACCUUUUUGUUCUGCUUUGGUAAGUGUACAUGUAUUCUGGUACACUUUUUCUCAGUGUUUUUCAGAAUGCGUUGGAAAGCAGGAGAUGAAAAACCAAGCACACGUAAAGUACUAAAGCUAUAAGAAGAACUGAUCAGGUAGAUUUAUUCAUUUUUUAUUUGGAUUACUUCUACUUUUUCCAGAUGUUUGUCAUACUGUUUUAUAGCAGUUCAGUUUGCCUAUAUUGUCAGAAGUGAUGGCGACUUAGCAUUUUCUAUUUUUGUCUAUGCAUUUUUUUUUUUUCACCUUUUUUCAGACUUGGAAACCUUCCUGGAGUCCCUUCCGUAUGUUCACAUUAUACACAUUAUUAUCUGCUGUAAUGCGCCUAAAUUUCCCUGUGUAAAUAUUACCUCGACAAGUGAUAGGAAAUGCAAGUUCUUUUUGGAGGGAAAAAGACAGUCUGCUUUUAUUUUUUCAGAUGUCUUCGCUGGUAGAGGUUUCAAAUAGACCAACAUUUGGGAACCAAUUUGUUCUGUUGCAGUGAGUUUCGAGGUAUUCUAUACUUUUUUUUUUUUUGUUUUUUUUCUGUGUUUUUCAGAAUAUACUGUAGUUUUUUAAAAA